CCUACGGGUGGCUGCAGUCGAGAAUCUUGGUCAAUGCACGAAAGUGUGAACCAGCGACGCCGCGUGAAGGAUGAAGGCCCUUGGGUCGUAAACUUCUUUUACGGGAGAAACGGUAUCCCGUGAAUAAGCCACGGCUAACUACGUGCCAGCAGCCGCGGUAAUACGUAGGUGGCAAGCGUUGUCCGGAUUUACUGGGCGUAAAGCGAACGCAGGCGGACCUUUAAGUAGGAAGUGAAAGGUUGGAGCUCAACUCUAACACUGCUCCCUAUACUGGAGGUCUUGAGUGCCGGAGAGGAAGACGGAACAAGUUGUGUAGCGGUGAAAUGCGUUGAUAUAACUUGGAACACCAAUGGCGAAAGCAGUCUUCUGGACGAACUGACGCUCAGGUUCGAAAGCCAAGGUAGCAAACAGGAUUAGAUACCCUUGUAGUC
RNAcentral lists this ribosomal RNA (431 nucleotides) under uncultured bacterium. Its description in RNAcentral is "partial 16S ribosomal RNA". It matches the Rfam family "Bacterial small subunit ribosomal RNA", at positions 338 to 795 of the family's 1533-position model. The record is from RNAcentral.